Molecule: ribosomal RNA, 263 nt
Filed under: uncultured Staphylococcus sp.
Lineage: Bacteria; Bacillati; Bacillota; Bacilli; Caryophanales; Staphylococcaceae
Description: partial 16S ribosomal RNA
Rfam family: Bacterial small subunit ribosomal RNA
Source: RNAcentral
GGGACGGGUGAGUAACACGUGGAUAACCUACCUAUAAGACUGGGAUAACUUCGGGAAACCGGAGCUAAUACCGGAUAAUAUAUUGAACCGCAUGGUUCAAUAGUGAAAGACGGUUUUGCUGUCACUUAUAGAUGGAUCCGCGCCGCAUUAGCUAGUUGGUAAGGUAACGGCUUACCAAGGCAACGAUGCGUAGCCGACCUGAGAGGGUGAUCGGCCACACUGGAACUGAGACACGGUCCAGACUCCUACGGGAGGCAGCAGCC